AACGAACGCUGGCGGCAGGCUUAACACAUGCAAGUCGAACGCCCCGCAAGGGGAGUGGCAGACGGGUGAGUAACGCGUGGGAAUCUACCGUGCCCUGCGGAAUAGCUCCGGGAAACUGGAAUUAAUACCGCAUACGCCCUACGGGGGAAAGAUUUAUCGGGGUAUGAUGAGCCCGCGUUGGAUUAGCUAGUUGGUGGGGUAAAGGCCUACCAAGGCGACGAUCCAUAGCUGGUCUGAGAGGAUGAUCAGCCACAUUGGGACUGAGACACGGCCCAAACUCCUACGGGAGGCAGCAGUGGCGAAUAGUGGACAAUGGGCGCAAGCCUGAUCCAGCCAUGCCGCGUGAGUGAUGAAGGCCUUAGGAUUGUAAAGCUCUUUCACCGAUGAAGAUAAUGACGGUAGUCGGAGAAGAAGCCCCGGCUAACUUCGUGCCAGCCGCCGCUGUAA
This 447-nucleotide ribosomal RNA is filed under the name uncultured bacterium. RNAcentral describes it as "partial 16S ribosomal RNA". It matches the Rfam family "Bacterial small subunit ribosomal RNA", at positions 29 to 523 of the family's 1533-position model. The record is from RNAcentral.